Megalopta genalis is the source of this 2106-nucleotide non-coding RNA. NCBI's taxonomy places the organism in Eukaryota, Metazoa, Arthropoda, Insecta, Hymenoptera, Halictidae. The record is from RefSeq and is a predicted model, not a curated record.
CGUUUCCACCCCCCCCCCCCCGGAAAAAAACGUUCUCGAAGAAUACUGAAUUGAAGAUCGGACCACGUGGCAUGAGAUUCACCUGUUAAAUCUGGCUGCUUGCCAUUGUUUUAAUAUUCCAAUUGUUUCCACGUGCUCACUUAACCUCAAAAUCUCGGAAUCUUCACCGUUCAUGUUCACUGAUUCUUCUACUUUCCCGCUUAUUUGAAGGCCUGGGGCUUUGACAAUGAAAAAAAAGAAUUGUUUGCUACCAAGUACGUUAUACACUUUAUUAAAAGAAUAGUGGAUAGAGCAGACAAUGUUCUCACAAUAUAUAGAACAUUGGAAUGCUCCAGAGUAACUGGUGCGCCAAAAUUGAAGACUCUUGAUAAUACAUUAAGUAGACUCAAUAAUAUGCAAAAUCCUUUAUAUAGGGUCUGGGGCUUUGACAAUGAAAAAAAGAAUUAUUUGCUCUACUAAGUACGUUAUACACUUUAUUAAAAGAAUAGUGGAUGGAGCAGACAAUGUUCUCACAAUACAUAGAACAUUGGAAUGCUCUAGAAUAACUGGUGCGCCAAAAUUGAAGACUCUUGAUAAUACAUUGAGUAGACUGAAUAAGGGUACAAACAAGGUGAUAUCGUUAACCAGUCGAUGUGAUAACGUUGAUACUUACAUUAACAAUGGGUGUUUCAAAACCAAUCUUAGAUUACGUUAUAUUUUGCCACCAAGAAAAUCUGAGUUGGCCAUUUAUCGAGAGCAAUCAAUUGAAAGAAAAAUUUGAUGAAAUCCUUGACGGUGCAAAUCUUAAUAAAGCACUUGAAGGUAUUAUAAAACAUAUGAAAGAAUUGGCUGUAGAGACUUGAAAUUACUUCAAGAGAAACGAAAGAAGAUUUGCAAUUUCGUGAAAGUAAUUCCUUUAAAAUAAGUAAUGAAACUUUGUCUUUCAAACGAAAGUUUGUAUGUAUGAUUAGAGAGUAUUAAUUAAACAAUCAGUGGAAAGAUUAAAACAGAAUGUAGAAAAAGAAUUUGUUGGUUCAGUGGAGGAAUUACUUGCUGAGAUUGAAACAUGCGAUGAAGAAAUAGACGAUAAAGUUGAUACAUAAUAAAGGGGUAGAGCUAAUGCACCAAAAUUUGAGACCCUUGAUGAUACCCUGAGUGCAAGCUAUCGAUAUGUUCUCAUCCAAAGCAAGAAUUCCGCAAUCUUUACAGAAAUUGUGAUUUACAGUAAUUGUCAUCAGAACUUGAAAUUAUCAUUCUAUAAAUGAACAAAUUUACCGUUUUUAACAACUAUGUUUUUGCUAAAGGAAACCUUACUGUCUGUCCAGCACUAAAGCGAUCUUUUUGCACCACUUAUAGAUUAGGCAGCAUCUGUGUGAAUUUCUAUGGAUGUAGUAUCCGGCCACUGGGUACAAGUUUCCACAGCUUCUUCAGAAUUUUGUUGAACGAUGCCAUACGCUCGUGAUUUUCUAGGACAGCUCUAUUCACUGCUCGACUGCAAACCUGCAAAUUUAAUAUAAUUUAUUGAAAAACCUGAUUUAAGAGAUAAAUAUAGUACAGAUAAGUAUACAGUAAUAUUAUACUAGCACAUUACAAAGUAGAAUAUUGUUACAUUUACCGUUAUUUCUGUACACUUUUUCCUAUAUCUAUCAUGUGCUCAUUUGUACGUAUCCCGCAUUAAUUCUUCAGUGCCUUGUUUUAUUACUCUUUCUAAUUCUUCUUGAUUAUCUAUCGAGAUGUUUCUCUAAACAGAGUUUGAAAUAUAUUACAUAUCCACAAAGAAAUAUUGUUGCAGAAUAGUGUAAAAUUUCAUCAUAGACAUUUUGAAUCAAGAAAGUUAACGUACUGCAGGAAAUAUUAAAUGUUUAAUAAAUUAUUUUUAUCAAAAUUAAAGAAAAGCAAGACCACAAAAUGUCUACGAUACUGCUGUACGCUAGAGAUUGUACUUAAAUCCUUGUCGAAUAAUUAGUUCUUCAAAAUUAACUUACUUUUUUAGAUGAUCUACUCGUCUUACGAGGACUUCUUCUUGAUUAAUAAAUUGUAUUUGGCUUAUCUAAAACAUAAAUGUAAUCAACUUUAUUAAUAUAUAGAAUUCUUAUGAAAUAGAAAUUUGAUAUAGUUUGUAAGAUA